This is a long non-coding RNA of Rhagoletis pomonella (apple maggot), 492 nucleotides long. RefSeq lists it as uncharacterized. The record is from RefSeq and is a predicted model, not a curated record. NCBI's taxonomy places the organism in Eukaryota, Metazoa, Arthropoda, Insecta, Diptera, Tephritidae. The transcript is spliced from 3 exons.
AAUUUAGCCUAAUUUACGACUUACGCAAUGAGGCUGAGGGUGUACUUCUUAAAAUACUCAUAUUCCUUAAUAGUUGCAGAAAUUAAAAACGAAAUCAUCUACAUAUCCCAAAUCCACAUUUAAAAGAAAUGUGUAUAUAGAUUUCCCUAACGCUCAUACCGCAAAAUUUCAUUCACACAACAAGUUGUAAAUACAGGCGCAGCAGUAGACCAUGAAAGGCAUGGGACCAGCACAAGAGGUUUUGGCCAAUUUGUGGCCGCCAAUGAAGCCAUCUAAAAUGAACAAAACGUAUUGAAAGAUUUAAAAUCAUAAUCAUGAGCUUACAUACAUGCCCACCCAUGGAUAACCCAGUUAUGCCUAGUGGCCCAAGUCCAUUCCUUUCGCACCAAUGCAGUAAAACCAAGCAUUCGAGUAUUAGACAUCCACCCAUCACAAAUAUGUCAGAUACAUUUUGUAAAUUAGAGCGCCUAAAAUGUUUAUAUUAAUCUUAUG